UUUUUUCUUAUUAUUAAGCGGAGGAAAAGAAAAUAACCAUGAUUCCCCCAGUAACGGCGAGUGAAGCGGGAAAAGCUCAAAUUUGAAAUCUGGCAACAUUUCUUUUGUUGUCCGAGUUGUAAUUUCAAGAGGCUGCUUUGAGUGUACACGAUUUACCUAAGUUCCUUGGAACAGGACGUCAUAGAGGGUGAGAACCCCGUCUUUGGUAAAUUGGGCGUAUGCCGGAUAAAGCGCUUUCGAAGAGUCGAGUUGUUUGGGAAUGCAGCUCUAAAUGGGUGGUAAAUUUCAUCUAAAGCUAAAUAUUGGCGAGAGACCGAUAGCGAACAAGUAGAGUGAUCGAAAGAUGAAAAGAACUUUGAAAAGAGAGUUAAAUAGUACGUGAAAUUGCUGAAAGGACGAAGCAUUGGAAACCAGUCUUACCCGGGUGAGAUCAGUUGUCUUUUCGCAAGACAAUGCACUCUGAACCUGUUGGUAGGUCAGCAUCAGUUUCUGGGGGUGGAAAAAGGAUUUAGGAAGGUACCUUUUCGGGUUUUGCUUGAAGAGGGUUUAUAGCCUAGAUUGUAAUACAUCCACUGGGGACUGAGGACUGCGAUCUUUAUGGUCAAGGAUGUUGACAUAAUGGUUUUCAAUGACCCGUCUUGAAACACGGACCC
RNAcentral lists this ribosomal RNA (653 nucleotides) under Schizosaccharomyces osmophilus. RNAcentral describes it as "partial 26S ribosomal RNA". It matches the Rfam family "Eukaryotic large subunit ribosomal RNA", at positions 33 to 668 of the family's 3401-position model. The record is from RNAcentral. Lineage: Eukaryota; Fungi; Ascomycota; Schizosaccharomycetes; Schizosaccharomycetales; Schizosaccharomycetaceae.